Molecule: ribosomal RNA, 497 nt
Filed under: uncultured bacterium
Lineage: Bacteria
Description: partial 16S ribosomal RNA
Rfam family: Bacterial small subunit ribosomal RNA
Source: RNAcentral
GAUGAACGCUGGCGGCGUGCCUAAUACAUGCAAGUCGAGCGAACGGACGAGAAGCUUGCUUCUCUGAUGUUAGCGGCGGACGGGUGAGUAACACGUGGAUAACCUACCUAUAAGACUGGGAUAACUUCGGGAAACCGGAGCUAAUACCGGAUGAUAUUUUGAACGGCAUGGUUCAAAAGUGAAAGACGGUCUUGCUGUCACUUAUAGAUGGAUCCGCGCUGCAUUAGCUAGUUGGUAAGGUAACGGCUUACCAAGGCAACGAUGCAUAGCCGACCUGAGAGGGGGAUCGGCCACACUGGAACUGAGACACGGUCCAGACUCCUACGGGAGGCAGCAGUAGGGAAUCUUACGCAGUGGGCGAAAGCCUGACGGAGCAACGGCGAGUGAGUGAUGAAGGUCUUCGGAUCGUAAAGCUCUGUUAUUAGGGAAGAACAGAUGUGUAAGUAACUGUGCACAUCUUGACGGUACCUAAUCAGAAAGCAACGGCUAACUACGUG